AGUGAACGCUGGCGGUAGGCCUAACACAUGCAAGUCGAACGGCAGCACAGUAAGAGCUUGCUCUUACGGGUUGCGAGUGGCGGACGGGUGAGGAAUACAUCGUAAUCUACUUUUUCGUGGGGGAUAACAUAGGGAAACUUACGCUAAUACCGCAUACGACCUACGGUUGAAAGCAGGGGAUCUUCGGACCUUGCGCGAUUGAAUGCGCCGAUGUCGGAUUAGCUAGUUGGCGGGGUAAAGGCCCACCAAGGCGACGAUCCGUAGCUGGUCUGAGAGGAUGGUCGGCCACACUGGAAGUUGGACGCGGUCCAGAGUCCUAAGGGAGGCAGCAGUGGGGAAUAUUGGACAAUGGGCGGAAGCCUGAUCCAGCCAUACCACGUCGGUGAAGAAGGCGUUCGGGGUGUAAAGCCCUUUUGUUGGGAAAGAAAAGCAGCAGCUUAAGACCCCGCUGUUCUGACGGUAACCAAAGAAUAAGCACCGGCUAACUUCGUG
Molecule: ribosomal RNA, 492 nt
Filed under: uncultured bacterium
Lineage: Bacteria
Description: partial 16S ribosomal RNA
Rfam family: Bacterial small subunit ribosomal RNA
Source: RNAcentral